UCCAGCAUUGAGUAUGGUUAUCACUGGAUUUGGCCCAGAGAGGGUGAGAGGCCCGUACGAGUGGAGGCUCAGACAUGUGAGACGGUUCACCAGGUCGACCUCAGAGUCGGGUUGUUUGAGAUUGCAGCCCAAAGUGGGUGGUAAACUCCAUCCAAGGCUAAAUACUGGCACGAGUCCGAUAGCGAACAAGUACCGUGAGGGAAAGUUGAAAAGUACUCUGAAGAGAGAGUAAACAGUACGUGAAACCGCAUGCAGGUAAACGGGUGGCGUCAAGCUGCGAGCCCGGAGAAUUCAGCUGGCCAGAUUGUAGUGCGCGUGCCUGUGGCGCCGAAGGGCCAGAGUAAGAUGUGGUAGUCCACUCCUCUCAUGGGGGUGGGGCGUGGCUGCGACCUCGGUUGUGGCUGUUGCUACGCGUGCCGAGUUGUGUGUCGGAGCGUGCUACUCGUCUGUGGGGCCGUCUGGUCAGUGCACUUUCUCCGUGGUGAACACCACGACCGGUGGUAUUGCCAGUCUACUGUGGUCAAGUCGUGUCCCUCUGGUGGCCCUGUUGUCCCUCGUUGGAUGAUGGUGGCUGCUUGGGGGACGCGAUCGCAGAUGGGAGGGAUGUACGGCGUGGCGGUGUUUCGGCGCUGUCGCGUGUUAUCGUGCAUUCACCGUCAACGGGGUGUUGGAGUGGGCUGUGAUCGCGCUCCUGGGCACCUCGGCGGGCCAUGGUGGUAAAAGUGACUGUGCAAGGCACCGUAUUCGACCGCCUCAGCUGGUGGGUUGGCCCUCUGGGUUGUCCCAUUGGCUCGUGGUAUCUGGCACGCACGUCACAGGUGCAAGAUACGGGGCGCGCCUCUGUCCGUGCGCGUUGGGCUUGGCUGGCGUGUUGCUCGCGCAAAGUGGGUCCGCUGGUGGUCCGGCGUGUUAUUGAUACAGUGGGCAGAGUUUGCGUGUCACCGGGUGCCACAUUUGCUAUGGAUACCGGGGGCGAGAUAGUCAGUGGUGCUGCGGUAGGCGAGCUACCCGACCCGUCUUGAAACACGGACCAAGGAGUUUAACAUGUGUGCGAGUCAGAGGGUCCUACGAAACCCCAAGGCGCAGUGAAAGUGAAGUCCGCGUUGCGUACCUAGGCACACUUGCGCGGUGCGUCGCGGCGAGGUGAGAUCCUGCUGUUUGCCUACUCACCGUCAGUUAAACCUGGCUAAUUAGGAGCAGUGGGCGCAUCACCGGCCCGUCCUAUGAUGUGAACAUUGGCAAUGGCGUGGUGGUGUGCGCGUGAGCGUGUGCUGCGGCGUCGGCUAAUGCGCCAUCGGGGCGGAGCAUGAGCACACAUG
RNAcentral lists this ribosomal RNA (1319 nucleotides) under Raillietina sp. VVT-2016. Its description in RNAcentral is "partial 28S ribosomal RNA". It matches the Rfam family "Eukaryotic large subunit ribosomal RNA", at positions 170 to 808 of the family's 3401-position model. The record is from RNAcentral. Lineage: Eukaryota; Metazoa; Platyhelminthes; Cestoda; Cyclophyllidea; Davaineidae.